UACGAAGGUGGCAAGCGUUGUUCGGAUUCACUGGGCGUACAGGGAGCGUAGGCGGUUGGGUAAGCCCUCCGUGAAAUCUCCGGGCCUAACCCGGAAAGUGCAGAGGGGACUGCUCGGCUUGAGGACGGGAGAGGAGCGCGGAAUUCCCGGUGUAGCGGUGAAAUGCGUAGAGAUCGGGAGGAAGGCCGGUGGCGAAGGCGGCGCUCUGGAACGUUUCUGACGCUGAGGCUCGAAAGCGUGGGGAG
This 245-nucleotide ribosomal RNA is filed under the name uncultured bacterium. RNAcentral describes it as "partial 16S ribosomal RNA". It matches the Rfam family "Bacterial small subunit ribosomal RNA", at positions 524 to 768 of the family's 1533-position model. The record is from RNAcentral.